CCGGGUAACGGGGAACUCACGGGUUCGACUUCCGGACGACGGGAAGCCUGAGCACAACGGCUACACAUCCACGGAAGGCAGCAGGCGCGCAACAUUACCCAAUCCCGACACGGGGAGGUAGUGACAAUAAAUAACAAUAUAGGGCCCUUUUGGGUCUUAUAAUUGGAAUGAGUACAAUUUAAAUCCGUUCACGAGGAACAAUUGGAGGGCAAGUCUGGUGCCAGCAGCCGCGGGUCAAUUUACCAGACUCCAAAUAAGCGUUAUCUUACAAGUUUGUUGCCA
RNAcentral lists this ribosomal RNA (282 nucleotides) under uncultured fungus. RNAcentral's name for it is "partial 18S small subunit ribosomal RNA". The stretch from base 1 to 253 matches the Rfam family "Eukaryotic small subunit ribosomal RNA", at positions 355 to 594 of the family's 1831-position model. Lineage: Eukaryota; Fungi. The record is from RNAcentral.